This is a long non-coding RNA of Raphanus sativus (radish), 1202 nucleotides long. RefSeq lists it as uncharacterized. NCBI's taxonomy places the organism in Eukaryota, Viridiplantae, Streptophyta, Magnoliopsida, Brassicales, Brassicaceae. The record is from RefSeq and is a predicted model, not a curated record. The transcript has 4 exons.
CCAUUUCAUUAAUGUGCUCUUCUCAUAAUUGCGGGCUUGACGGUGGCCUUAUUUCUCGAGCGUCUUGCGGCCCAUCCACCACAUAUGUCGUUGGAAACCCUUAUCUGUUCUGAUGCGAGCGUUCGUGUUCUUCGUCUCUUUCGAUCGAUCCAGAUUCUGUAACGGUUCCUUGGAUAUCUGAUUUUGAUCACAAGACAAAUCACUGUGAAGAAUCUCUGUAUCAAGCUUAUACUGCGUCGAUUCGUCUUUGGUUCUUUCCUCUGAAACGUUACGAAGUGUCUUGAUUCAUCACCUUUAAGAGACAUCUUAACUCCAUCAACGCAAAUCAAGCACGGCGUCUCAUUCAAUGAUACACAUCCGCUCCAAAGCAGUGUUUCUUUACCUAUAAAAGGAGUUUCUUCCCUGCGUUUACUAGGAUUGUCGGGGCUCUCAGUCAUAAACAGUGGAUCGAUUCGAUUUCUUUUGAGGUUACGCUUGAAAAGGUGGGACCUGUUUUGCAUAUUAUUAACAAUUCUGAGAAAGCUAUUUAUCUCAAAAAGAUGUACUUAUGACUUUGAAACCGAGCUAAGAUCAAGAAGAAGCCUCUUCUGAAGUCAUUCCCACUAAUUUAAUGGGCUUGCCAACGUUGUUCUCUAUGUGAAUGAGGUGAUAUAAUAUAUCUAAUUUAUGGUUUAGUGUGUUUGAUUUUAGUUUUUUUUUUCCAUUUCCUAACAAUGGAUUUAAUAAAUUUGAAUAUGUCGUUCUCUCUGAGUUGAAUAGUACCAGCACCCACCACUUGCUAAUUUUGCACUCCAGAGUGGUAAGUACCAUACAGAUGAUGAUAUGACAGCAGGGGCUGUAAGUCUCUAUGGACUCAAACCCAAUCGUGAACAACUUUGGUCCAACUAAGACCAACAGGUGUGAUGCUGCUACAAUAAUCGAAGGCUGUUCACAAGUGCCCCAACCAAUUCCUCCGCAAACUGAUCCACCAGUCAACACAAAGGAAGAAACAACAGAUGGUGACAAGGGUCGAAAUCUUAAGACAAUGAAGCUGGCUAAAAAUUUUCCAAUUCCAUUUCCGGUUGAAGUUUUUGCGCUUCACUCAGUAAUUUGUUGUCUUGCAACGUUUUAAUUAUUCAGUUUUGGUUUUCAUUAGUUUAAGGAUAAUUGGUACUCCUGAUAAUUUUAUUAUAUAUGUAGUGGUUCUGAAACUUCUUUAUUAA